AUUUUUCUUCAUCUGAUUUUUAUUUUUUCACAUUUUAUUUCACUAAUUUUCUAUUUUCCAUGAAUUUUCUCUUUUCUCCUUUGUUUUAAUUGGUUAAAAAAGUACUUUUCUAUAUUUUUAAAUUCUGAAAAUUUUAUUAUAUGCUUCUUAUUUUAUUUCUAACCUUCCGUAAUUGUGUUGGCCAUUUAAUUGGUGUUUGAAGGACUUUAUGGAUUUUUCAUUUUAUUUCAAUU
This 233-nucleotide long non-coding RNA is filed under the name Lathyrus oleraceus (garden pea). Its description in RNAcentral is "Pisum sativum (pea) long non-coding RNA (PSAT_LNC004891)". The record is from RNAcentral. Lineage: Eukaryota; Viridiplantae; Streptophyta; Magnoliopsida; Fabales; Fabaceae.